This 253-nucleotide ribosomal RNA is filed under the name uncultured bacterium. Its description in RNAcentral is "partial 16S ribosomal RNA". It matches the Rfam family "Bacterial small subunit ribosomal RNA", at positions 524 to 776 of the family's 1533-position model. The record is from RNAcentral.
UACGGAGGGGGCUAGCGUUGUUCGGAAUUACUGGGCGUAAAGCGCGCGCAGGCGGUCCUUCAAGUCAGGGGUGAAAGCCCAGAGCUCAACUCUGGAAUUGCCUUUGAAACUGACGGACUAGGGUACGGGAGAGGUGAGUGGAAUUCCGAGUGCAGAGGUGAAAUGCGUAGAUAUUCGGAAGAACACCAGUGGCGAAGGCGGCUCACUGGCCCGUUACCGACGCUCAGGCGCGACAGUGUGGGGAGCAAACAGG